GAUGAACGCUGGCGGCGUGCCUAAUACAUGCAAGUCGAGCGAACGGACGAGAAGCUUGCUUUUCUGACGUUAGCGGCGGACGGGUGAGUAACACGUGGAUAACCUACCUAUAAGACUGGGAUAACUUCGGGAAACCGGAGCUAAUACCGGAUAAUAUUUUGAACCGCAUGGUUCAAUAGUGAAAGACGGUUUUGCUGUCACUUAUAGAUGGAUCCGCGCUGCAUUAGCUAGUUGGUAAGGUAACGGCUUACCAAGGCAACGAUGCAUAGCCGACCUGAGAGGGUGAUCGGCCACACUGGAACUGAGACACGGUCCAGACUCCUACGGGAGGCAGCAGUAGGGAAUCUUCCGCAAAGGGCGAAAGCCUGACGGAGCAACGCCGCGUGAGUGAUGAAGGUCUUCGGAUCGUAAAACUCUGUUAUUAGGGAAGAACAAAUGUGUAAGUAACUGUGCACAUCUUGACGGUACCUAAUCAGAAAGCCACGGCUAACUACGUG
This 497-nucleotide ribosomal RNA is filed under the name uncultured bacterium. RNAcentral's name for it is "partial 16S ribosomal RNA". It matches the Rfam family "Bacterial small subunit ribosomal RNA", at positions 28 to 507 of the family's 1533-position model. The record is from RNAcentral.